Molecule: ribosomal RNA, 500 nt
Filed under: uncultured bacterium
Lineage: Bacteria
Description: partial 16S ribosomal RNA
Rfam family: Bacterial small subunit ribosomal RNA
Source: RNAcentral
GACGAACGCUGGCGGCGUGCCUAAUACAUGCAAGUCGAGCGAGACUCUUCGGAGUCUAGCGGCGGACGGGUGAGUAACACGUGGGCAACCUGCCUGUAAGACUGGGAUAACACCGGGAAACCGGUGCUAAUACCGGAUAAUCCUUUUCCUCUCAUGAGGAAAAACUGAAAGUCGGUUUCGGCUGACACUUACGGAUGGGCCCGCGGCGCAUUAGCUAGUUGGUGAGGUAACGGCUCACCAAGGCGACGAUGCGUAGCCGACCUGAGAGGGUGAUCGGCCACACUGGGACUGAGACACGGCCCAGACUCCUACGGGAGGCAGCAGUAGGGAAUCUUCCACAAUGGACGAAAGUCUGAUGGAGCAACGCCGCGUGAGCGAUGAAGGCCUUCGGGUCGUAAAGCUCUGUUGUUAGGGAAGAACAAGUACCGGAGUAACUGCCGGUACCUUGACGGUACCUAACCAGAAAGCCACGGCUAACUACGUGCCAGCCGCCGCGGUAA